Molecule: non-coding RNA, 3208 nt
Organism: Sus scrofa (pig)
Lineage: Eukaryota; Metazoa; Chordata; Mammalia; Artiodactyla; Suidae
Source: RefSeq, a predicted model, not a curated record
UGGGAGCAAAAGCUGAAAAGAACUUUGUAUUUCAUUAUUAACUCAGCAUCAGACAUUACAAGGGCUGCAGUUGACCACAUUUCCGUAUGACAAGAGCAGAAAGCAAACCCCAGAGUAGUCACAGACCAGAUCAGGCCACUAAGGCACUGGGAACAGGUCUGAAGCUGGAAAGAAGAGGAAUGGGGAGAGAGCCAGGCAGGGCCCCCGUGGUUGGGGGGGUCUGCUUUUCUGGCCACAAAUCCGGAUUUCUCUCGUGGAUCCUAUCUUCCCUCCCUCCACGGUAAAGGCUUCCUCCUGGGAACCCCGAGUGAAAUAAGCUGUUGUGUCUUCUAGAGCCAGGAAAGCCUUUCUUUUCUCUUUAACCAGUUCACCAGCAUGUGGUCGUGGGCUCCAGUUAGCGCCUCCCUCACAGCUUGGAUCUUGUUUGGACCAGAAGCCAGAUUAAACCCAAGGAGAGUGAAAGAGUUAGGAGCUGCGGAAGGAAGUUGGCUAAUAAGGGCCUCUUUCUUGUCUACUUGGCAAAGCCACGUGCUAGUGGCCUCCUUGGAUAGGGCGCUCUCGAAUCUUUCUACCAAGAGACCUCUCCCAGGCUUCAGCGUUGCCCUGCGGGUGCAAAGAUGAGCUCACACCCGAGCACACCAACGGGCUUUCCCAAGCGCUUACACGUGCACCCAUGCAUAGGCAGGACACACACAGCUGCCUAUUUCGGGAAAGAAUGCGAGGCGUGUUGUGCUUGAAGUGGAAACAGCUCGCAUCUACUCCAUCCUCUUCCCCUCUAUGCCGCCCACCACCCCCGAUCCGGGCUCCGGAUCCAAUCCGGGUUUUAGGAAUCCCCGCAACUCUUCUGGAGGCUUUGUGCUGAAGGGGUGCGACUCCGGGGCUGCGGUUCAGGCUGCGCCUUCUCCCUCCUGGUCCUCUGGCGGCUCCGCGUCCGGGGCUCCGGGAAGAGUUCCACCAAGCCCGGGUGGCGCCAGACGAUCCUAAUUCGAGAGCUGGAGUCAAACUCGCGCAGCAGAGGGACCGUGCAGCGAUACCUCACAAAAAUAAGCCAAUGGGAUACCGCGGACAAAUACAUCAGCGGACACCGCUGCAGUCCAGGAGACUCUCCAUUAAAACCAUCAGCGCUUUCCCUGUGGCUUUCUGUCCCUCGAAGUGAAAAAAUGAAGUUUCCGUAAAGUCCAGGGCAAGAACCUGCAGCGAAAUAAGUCCAGGGACUCCCGGAGAAACUGGGAGAGAGUGCUUCCAUCUUCAUUUCACUUUAAACUUGGCCGCUUUCUGGGACUUCACUGAGGGGCGGCGGAGUCGCACCAGCCUGGACCACAAGCUGAUUCCAGCGAGCACUUCCAAAUACUUUAGGACGCGGGGGUGACUCCUUUUUUCUUCAGGAUUGUCCCACUUGCCACCCUUCCCUGCUGAGCGGAUAGGAACCGCUUAAGACCGGGAGAUAAAGGGCGGACCGAGGUGAGCAGGGGGCACACUUAACCAGCUGUAAGAAGACCAGGGCUGGGAGCAGAGCAGUUAAAAUAUCUCCUUGGGUGGUUCUAAGAGGGUGUGUGUGUGUGGUUAUAAGAGGGUGUUGGGGGGUAUGAGAGGGGUGUGUGUGUGUGUGUGUUGCAAAAGAAAGAUGAAAUCCAUGUCUCUUUAAUGUGGGGAGUAGUGAUGUGUAACUUUACAGUGUUCUUUUAUUUUGCAAGCCCUACCAAGCUCACAAAAACAUCCUCUCUUCCUUUAGUUUAGCCUUCCUGUUGUACAUUAUACAUUAUAUUUGAAAGUGCUUUCCUCAUUUAAUCUUAUCUCAAGAAAGCACUCUCUGGCAAAGCCAUGUACCCUCCCCUCCUAUCCAGUCUGAUUAGAAUUUGCCAAUAGAAAGGAAGAAGCAAGCUUUGCUUUAGUUUGACAGUAGAAGGUGGCAAGACUUUCCAGGAGAAGCUAUGAUAUUGUUUACCAAAUGAUCUCAAAGUUAACAGAGGGUAGUUUUUAUUCUUACCUCCACCAAAGAAAGGCCUCUGAAAAUAAAUAAAUAAAAAGAGAUUACAGUUUCUACUUUGCCCAUGUAAUUAUUGGCAUUAACCAACUCAAAAAUUUGUAUACUUUUAAGUAUCUAAACAAUCUUAAUUUAUUCCCAAAUCCCAUGUCUACACCAUGUCACUUUUAAAAUUACGUUAAAUUUCUUUCUCUCCCAAAUUGUUCUUGUAUGGACCUGUAGUCAUAAAUGUUGGACUAUAUUUUCCCAGAAUAAUUCAGAAUUUGAAAAAAGUUGAGUUUUGCUAAUUUCAGACAGUAAAUGGAAAUAUGAAUGUUUUGCAGUUGUAAUGAUGAAUACUGAAAGAAAAGUUUCUGAUUAUAUUAUUAUUUAGCAUUUUUUUCUAAGGCAGUGAGAAAGGUACGAUUUACUCUAUUUUAAAAUUGUUUUUAACAAUUUGCUUACCUCAUGAAUUUUCUUAUUUCUGUGGUUUGAAGUAUAUGAUGAAUUGUCACUUUAGUUCAUUUUUUUGUUUGAUCUAUGCUUUAAAAAGCUUAUUUAAUUUGGAAUUGUCUCCACAUUUUCUGGGUGAUGAAUUGGUGUUGUGAAGAGUCUUAGAUUAUUUUUCCCAAUAUAAAGUUCUCUGUAAUUCAAGGCCAGAAAAUGAUGUGAAAAAACAACCAGGAAAUACAAGUUUCUGAAAUGAAGAAAUAACAUUUUUUAAAAACUUAGUUAACAUAUAAUAAAGGAAAUCCAACCUCAAGCUUUUUAACUAUCAUAGCUGUGCCCUACAUACCUCUGAAAUCUAAAAAGAGAUCUGCUUAUCUUAGAAACACAUUUUUGAUGUUAUACCUGACUAUAAAAGCCCUAAGGUACAAAUUGUGCUGGCAGUUGCAUCUUACCUUCAACUGGGCUUUCAACAGAGUUGCAGAUUCAGCAUAUUUCUGUCAUAAAUAAACAGAUUUCUCAUUUAUCUAUUUUGGAUCCCCCCUAAAAUCAAAUGCGUUUACUAACUUAUUUCUGAGCUACAAAAGAUAUUUCCCCUUUUAUUUUUAAAUAAAAAUAGAGGUCUGAUUUUUUUCACCUGGUCUUGUGUAAAGCAUACAUUUACUAUCCCUUCUUCCUGAAUCUUUGUUAUAUUUUGUAACCUCUAUGGAUCAUGAUAACAGCAUACUAGGUGAUUAAGGUCUACCUCAAGAAAGUUGGAACUAGCACUGAGAAUAAACUACUGGGUUGUUUUACUAA